CCAUCGUGGCUCAGCAGAAAGGUAUCUGCCUGGCAUCUCUGAGGACGCAGGCUCAAGCCCUGGCCUUGCUCAGUGGAUUAAGGACCCAGCAUUGCCGUGAGCUGUGGUGUAGGUCACAAACGCGGCUCAGAUCCUGAGUUGCUGUGGCUGUGGUGCAGGCUGCCAGCUGUAGCUCCGACUCGACCCCUAGCCUGGGAAACUCCAUAUGCUGCGGGUGUGGCCCUAAGUAGACAAAAGACCAAAAAAAAAAAAAAAAAGGAAGAAGUUCACAUCCCUUCAGGGUUGGCAGGGAAACUAUACAGCAGGAACAAACCCCAAAACUGAAGGGGGUGGGCAGGGAGAGUGUCAGGAAAAGCCAGCUGAGAAUUUGACCUUUGCCAAUAAGUAGUCCCAGAAAACAUUCUUGUGCCAGUAACCCCAGAUAACAGCAGAGCCACCAGCUCUUCAAGGCUCGUUUAGAGGAGGUGGGCUAGUCCCCUGGGCUCUCCCAGGAUCCCCGUUCCUAAACUGACCAAGGGCCUCCUCAUCACAGGACCCACAGUUCCUAUUAUUCACCAAAUAUUACUCUCGGUACAGCCCAGAGGGACCCUGUCUUUGGUCAAAAGGGUCUCUUGGCCAUUCUCCUGUCAUUACUGAGAAAAACCCAUCUCACAGUCUCCCUCAGAAUCUACCAGAGUUUUCUACUCUUGAGAGUCAGUACAUCUUACAUUUUCCUGAUGCCGCUUCAGAUCAAACGGCAGCAGCAAGGACAAGAAGCCAUUUUAUCUAAAGAGCUCUCGAAAGGUAGUUGUGCCAGACAGCACAGUGGUGGAUAAAAAGCAAGGCUUUAGAGUCAGACAUAACUCCUUGAGCAAGGAACACCACCUCUCUAAGCUUCCGUUUCUCCUCUACCAAAUGAGAAUACGAUCAGCUCGUCCGCAGAAUCCUGGAGGAACUGACAUAUAUACAAUAUCAGCAUGUGCGCUACGGACAGUUGCUGCUGUUAUUAUCAUUAUUAUCCCUGGUCUACCCAGAAUUAGGCAAAUGCAUAAAUCAAAAUAAGGAAACACUUAUCCCAAAACCGCAGGAUUUUAUGGCCACCCCAACUUCCCAACGUGAGCUAAUUGUCCCUGAAGUGAAACCAGAAGGCUGAGGCUAUUGUUCUAAUGAACAGCAUGAACUAAAGCAGGAAAGCUUCACUCACGCUGGGAUAGAGCUGGAGUCCAGGCCAUAACUUUGGUCCAUGCUGCCUUCUUAUAAGUCAACACAGAAUAUUAGAAGCCCAUGAAACAAAGUGUCAAUUAAGCAACUGAGAAGGGGAGUUCCUGUUGUGGCUCAGCACGUUAAGAACCUGAGUAGUUUCCAUGAGGAUGUGUUGAUCUCUGGCCUCGCUGAGUGGGUUAAGGAUCUGGUGUUGCCCCAAGCUGCAGGGUAGAUCACAGACAUGGCUUGGAUCUGGCAUUGCUGUGGCUAUAGUGCAGGCCAGCUGCUGCAGCUCCAAUUCAACCCCUAGCCUGAGAAACGUAAGCCACAGAGGCCACCUUAAAAAAGAAAAAAAAAAAAGAAAAAG
Molecule: long non-coding RNA, 1549 nt
Filed under: Sus scrofa (pig)
Lineage: Eukaryota; Metazoa; Chordata; Mammalia; Artiodactyla; Suidae
Description: lncRNA (ENSSSCG00035016810.1)
Source: RNAcentral